Molecule: ribosomal RNA, 457 nt
Filed under: uncultured bacterium
Lineage: Bacteria
Description: bacterial SSU rRNA
Rfam family: Bacterial small subunit ribosomal RNA
Source: RNAcentral
UACGGAGGCAGCAGUGGGGAAUAUUGCACAAUGGGCGAAAGCCUGAUGCAGCUAUGCCGCGUGUAUAAAGAAGGCCUUAGGGUUGUAAAGUACUUUCAUCGGGGAGGAAAAAACAAAACUAAUAAUUUUAUUUCUUGACGUUACCCGAAAAAGAAGCACCGGCUAACUCCGUGCCAGCAGCCGCGGUAAUACGGAGGGUGCUAGCGUUAAUCAGAAUUACUGGGCGUAAAGAGCACGUAGGUGGUUUUUUUAAGUUCAGAUGUGAAAUCCCUGGGCUUAACCUAGGAACUGCAUUUUGAAACUGAAAUACUAGAGUAUCGUAGAGGGAGGUAGAAUUCUAGGUGUAGCGGUGAAAUGCGUAGAUAUCUGGAGGAAUACCUGUGGCGAAAGCGGCCUCCUAAACGAAUACUGACACUGAGGGUGCGAAAGCGUGGGGAGCAAACAGGGAUUAGAUACC